Molecule: non-coding RNA, 102 nt
Organism: Paenibacillus alvei DSM 29
Lineage: Bacteria; Bacillati; Bacillota; Bacilli; Caryophanales; Paenibacillaceae
Source: Rfam
AAUUACAACCGCAUACUUCUUCGUAUAACUUUGGAAAUAGGGUCCAAUCGUCUCUACCGAGCUGCCGUAAACAGCUUGACUACGAGGAUAAGAGCGCUUGUC